RNAcentral lists this ribosomal RNA (328 nucleotides) under uncultured eukaryote. Its description in RNAcentral is "partial 18S ribosomal RNA". It matches the Rfam family "Eukaryotic small subunit ribosomal RNA", at positions 1470 to 1796 of the family's 1831-position model. The record is from RNAcentral.
CCCUUAGAUGUUCUGGGCCGCACGCGUGCUACACUGAUGCAUUCAACGAGUCUAAAACCUGGUCUGAUAGGGCUGGGUAAUCUUUUGAAAGUGCAUCGUGAUUGGGAUAGAUGAUUGCAAUUCUUCAUCUUCAACGAGGAAUUCCUAGUAAGCGCAAGUCAACAGCUUGCGUUGAUUACGUCCCUGCCCUUUGUACACACCGCCCGUCGCUACUACUGAUUGGAUGUUUAAGCGAGGUUCUCGAACUGCUAGCGACUUAGCUUCGGUGAGGUCGCAGUGUGGGAAGUGAACCUAGCUUUGGUGUCUAGAGGAAGUAAAAGUCGUAACA